CGGAGCAUCGAUGCGCCCGCCCUGAAUGGGAUCAAGCCCGGCCAGCGCGCGCAGAAGCGUUGUCUUUCCGCAUCCGCUUUCCCCGAGAAGUGCGACGAACUCGCCGCGUUCGAUACGCAGGUUAAGUCCGCUGAUAACCGUUCUCUCUCCGUAGGAGCGCCGCAAGCCGGACACUGUGACCGCUGGUGACGGUGAGAGAGGAGGGACAUGAGCGUUCAUCGUGCGCUUCCGCCGAAGUUCGGGUGCCAGGCCAACAUUCUGCGUUCCAGCAGCCGCGCGACGGAAUCGGCC
RNAcentral lists this unclassified non-coding RNA (291 nucleotides) under Hevea brasiliensis (rubber tree). Lineage: Eukaryota; Viridiplantae; Streptophyta; Magnoliopsida; Malpighiales; Euphorbiaceae. The record is from RNAcentral.